RNAcentral lists this ribosomal RNA (775 nucleotides) under uncultured Neocallimastigales. Its description in RNAcentral is "partial large subunit ribosomal RNA". It matches the Rfam family "Eukaryotic large subunit ribosomal RNA", at positions 24 to 647 of the family's 3401-position model. Lineage: Eukaryota; Fungi; Neocallimastigomycota; Neocallimastigomycetes; Neocallimastigales. The record is from RNAcentral.
GUAGUCUCGCACAGAUGCAUAUCAAUAAGCGGAGGAAAAGAAACUAACAAGGAUUCCCCUAGUAACGGCGAGUGAAGCGGGAAGAGCUCAAAUUUGAAAUCUUAAAGGGCUUCCCUUUACGAGUUGUAGUUUAAAGAAGUGUUUUCUGUUGAGGUUUUGGUAAAAGUUCUUUGGAAUAGGACAUCAUAGAGGGUGAGAAUCCCGUAUUUGACCUUUACUUUCAACUUUGUGAUACACUUUCAAAGAGUCGGAUUGUUUGGGAAUGCAGUCCGAAAUGGGUGGUAAAUUUCAUCUAAAGCUAAAUAUUGGCGAGAGACCGAUAGCGAACAAGUACCGUGAGGGAAAGAUGAAAAGAACUUUGAAAAGAGAGUUAAACAGUACGUGAAAUUGUCAUAAGGGAAGCGUUUGACACCAGUGUUGUUUUUCUGAAAAUCAAUUAAAGAACUGUUUAUGCUAAGUUGUUUAGACAUUUAUCAGCUAUCUGUUUAGUUUUGAGCUUUUCUUUAAUGCACUUUUCAGUUAACAAGUCAACAUCAAUUUCUUUUGCUGUAAAAAAGCUUGAGGAAGGUGGCUUGAGAUUCGUCUUAAGUGUUUAUAGCCUCUUGCCUAUGCAGUCGGAGAGAUUGAGGUCUGCAGCGUAGAUCCUUCGGGGCUAAAUGCAUUUGUGCUAAGUUAUAGCAUUUUAUAGACAACUUGUUGACUAUGAUUUGUCUUGUAGCUUACUCGCUUAUGUUAUUUUACCUACGCUUAGGAUGUUGAUCUGUAGUGCGUGCGC